UUUGUGCCACUAAAUGUAAUUUUAUUUGUAGUGAUCUUGGCCAGCUUCUCUGCAGAAAUACUCUCCAGAAUCAUGAUGAAAUGCGUACUCUUGAUCAAACGAUCCACGAUGCCUAAAUCGAAUCCACUCUACGUGCAAUCCUGGGUAGCUUCGUGAUAAAAUCCCUGGUAAUAUUUUCACAUUUUCAAACGGGAAUCUCUAACGGUUGCAUCUUGCCGUGAGGUCGUUGGUGCUCGGCCUUGACUUUCCUUCAAGUCAAACACCGCUCCACAUAGCAAUACAAAUCCCGCUUCAUACAGGACUACUAAAAAUGAAGUAAAAAAAAUGAAGUAAGGUUGGUAAUGAAACACUAUAUAUCCAUUUUUACUUCAUUUAUAAGGAAAAAAAUAAAGAUAAAUUGGAGAUGAUCUUAGUGUGUUGGAUAACUUUAGAUUUCAAAUAUAGAUACAACAACCAGUUAAAAAACAAAAUUUCAUAUGUUUAGUUGGAAAGCAAUCAUCAUUUUAAUGUUAAAAAUGCACGAUUUAUAAUUUUAUGUUCGAUAGUUAAUACCGGUCUAAGCCUUUAGUGUUUGAUGGUUGGAGUUGGUCGAAGACCACAUACCUCGUCCCGAUUUGGCAAAUCCUAAGUGAAGUAGCCAACGUGUUUCGUCUUACGAUUUGAUAACCCAUGUAUGGCGCGAGUUUUUGACCAAAAUGGUGUAUCCUAUAAAAAUAUUUAUAAAAAUAUAUAUUUUUAAGCAUAUUUACCAAAUUAUGGUUAAAUAAAAAAGAAAUCAAUGUCGACGCCCUAACUCCUCAGCACCAACAUCGCGAUUACUCCAGUCGGCUCCAUCUCCGGCUAGAUGCCGGACUCUCCGGCCACACCAGUGCGCCUACAUCACAAUUCCUUCGCAACUCUCACAUUCAGCCGCACCGGAAGACUCUCCAUCGACCGCUCAUUUCCGGCGCUUCCUCCAUGCCGUCGACCGCUAACCUCCAGCGAUCCCGCUGGUCUCCACCGGUCUACCUUCGAUGUUCCAUCA
This 1024-nucleotide long non-coding RNA is filed under the name Lactuca sativa (garden lettuce). RNAcentral's name for it is "long non-coding RNA (LSAT_LNC008266)". The record is from RNAcentral. Lineage: Eukaryota; Viridiplantae; Streptophyta; Magnoliopsida; Asterales; Asteraceae.